UCAAUAGUUAGUGCUCAAUCACAAGACAGUUCAGCAGAGCGUGAAGACUUGGAUCAGUAUGAAGUCGGAUACAACGGGCUCAACCUGGUGAAGGUGGGUCUCCCUCAACUGCGUAAUCGCUGCAAAACCAUGGGCAAUUGUGUUCAUGAUAGGCUGUGUGAUAGCAGUUGCAAGCAGUUUGGGUACAAGGAUGGAGAAUGCAGUGGAAGAUCCUGCAUUUGUUGUGCCUAAUCAUCGAGCUGCUAGAUUCAGUGUUUGUUUGAGAGAGUGUUGAUAAUUAUCAAACAACAAGAG
RNAcentral lists this long non-coding RNA (294 nucleotides) under Aedes aegypti (yellow fever mosquito). RNAcentral describes it as "uncharacterized LOC125480928 (LOC125480928)". The record is from RNAcentral. Lineage: Eukaryota; Metazoa; Arthropoda; Insecta; Diptera; Culicidae.